GGCCAACAGAUCGCCAGAUCGUUGAGCUGCAUUGGCGGGAUUUCGCCGUCUUCGUUUCUCUUUCUUCGCGGACGAACACGCGCCGGGGCUGCGCUGUGCGAUUGCAUCUGCGCUGGUCGCCGAUGCAUGCACGCAAGACCCUAGUCCUGAAAAGGAUAGCGUUAGGGCUUGUAGCUCAGUUGGUUAGAGCGCGCGCUUGAUAAGCGUGAGGUCGGAAGUUCAAGUCUUCCCAGGCCCACCACUUUCAUCGAGUGAGCAUUCGUCUUCUGGUUACGGGGCCAUAGCUCAGCUGGGAGAGCGCGUGCUUUGCAAGCAUGAGGUCGUCGGUUCGAUCCCGUCUGGCUCCACCAGAUGGUUUGAUCACCGAGAUCAUGUACCGUCGUCCGCGAAACAUCACUUCGCAUUCACUAGUCUGGAUAGACAGUGAACUGCGUGUUUUCUGACAUCGUAAAGAGGAGAUCGAUCCGAGUUGGGUCGUGCAGCAUAUCGUUGCGCGAGCCUUCAUUAUCUCCGGAUCA
This 518-nucleotide transfer RNA is filed under the name Bradyrhizobium sp. TUTAHSA150. RNAcentral describes it as "partial 16S-23S ribosomal RNA intergenic spacer". The stretch from base 165 to 238 matches the Rfam family "tRNA". Lineage: Bacteria; Pseudomonadati; Pseudomonadota; Alphaproteobacteria; Hyphomicrobiales; Nitrobacteraceae. The record is from RNAcentral.